CUGGACUGUUUUACACUUGACACUGUGGAUACGUGGCUCUUCAUUCAGCAGAGCAACGAAGGCAAAUGUUGGAGACCAGUUGAUUUUCUACCAGAAAUGAGCUGUAGCUUGGAAAAGCUAAAAGGAAAUAUGUUUUUUGCUCACUCCAUUUCAGAAAGCUGAGAGAAUGAAAUGGGCACAUGUCAGCCCAAAGACAGAAAGCAGAGAAGAAGUCACUGCAUGUGCAGAAGCAUGUCUAGAAGACAGCUGCUACAGAAAAGAGGGCAUUACAAAAAAGCAGGAAAAAACCCUUCAAAGUAAAUGAAAAGAAACAGACAGUUCUUCAAAACAAGAGAGGGAAUUAGAAAAAGAACAUUUGGAGAGGAAAAAGCAUUUGGAAUUUUUCUAAGAAGAAGGUACAAACUCAACUCUCAGAAGUAAGAAUCAGAUGAGGGAAGGUGAAGAUUAUUACAGGCACAAAGAACAGAAGUGCAAAGAGUUGGAGAAAGAUCAUUAAUCGUUCUGGGAAUCAGAAGCGUCCUGUGAUACGCAAAAUGAGGAGAUGGAAUAAUCCAUUUUUGCCUGGGGACAGUGAAAGGACAGAGGAACGUCUCAUUAGAGAAGGUGUUUGACUUGGACCCUGAAGAAUUUUGCCAGGUGGAGAUAGAGAAAGACUCUAGCCAAGGAAAAGUUAAUUUGAAAAGGCAGAGAGUCAGAAGAAAGCAAACCCUUUUUUCCUUCAUGGCAAAUUUCUCAAAACGGAAUUGCUGGAUCAAAGGAGAUGUACACAUAGAAGACUUUUGUUAUGUCCUGCUUCAUUUCCCUCCUGGAAGAUGCAUCAACCUCUACGCCCACCAGCAGCCAAGUGCUAAUUUUUGAAAGUACACUGUAAUGCAUCCAAUGUAGACAAUGGUGUGGGUGAAUUUAAAGCUGCUUUUUAGUAAAUUCACAAGGAAAUAUCUGAGUCGGUUAAAAAGAAGUUCCUCUUUUCCGACUACAUUUCCAGUCAUAGGAACAAUGAGAUCCUCGGGAAGAUACAAAAAUGAAUGUGACAACCCUGGCGUACGACUGCUUCAGGAAAUCUUCAUAUUCUCUCUGACUUUGGAGCAACUAGAGAAACUUUUAAACAAAGAAUUGCUUAACGUUCAUCAUGAUGGAUCCAGGUCCUAUCACCCCAGGCUCUUUCCUAAGGCCUGGCCCUCACUCCUACUGUUCUUUCCUCCUGCUGUCAUCUCCUCAGACUAUUUGCCAGUCUAGAGCAAUCUCCUUUAGGAUCUCUGAAAUGAAAAGAGGAAACUCGGGGAAGGCGGUUCCUUCUGUCACCCAGGUCUCUGGAACAUUCCAAUAGACCAAAUUUGGAAAAGAAAGCCAUUACAUUGUGGAAAAUUUAAAGGCUAAGACAUUCCAAAGACAAAUGAUGAAUCGAAAACAGUAUCGACAAAAUUUAACUUCAGUUUAUAGCCGACAAACUGCUACAAUUUUGCACAUGGGUGCACAUGUGGAAGCUUUUCCAUAAGAGACAGCAGCCACCACAAAUAUUUGUGAAGAUGUGCUUUCUCCUUUGUCUAGGGUUUACGCUCUCCAGUUUAGAUUGAAUUCAUGUGGUAUCCUGGGUUGUUCAUUGUUGUAAUGUUUUACUUUGUUCGGAAAUUGAUGCUAUUGUCAUUCAACUCUCUGAGUGACACAUCAACACAGCCUUCUUUGAGUGCCAAGCAAUAUGGAUUACAGAGUAAACACAGUGCAGAAACCACAAGUUCUCAAGCCUGCAAAUCACGAUUAGUUCAGCAAGAAUCCAGGACACUGAAGGAAAGAUGAAGAGAAACAACCCUUCAAAAGUGAAGAAGGAGCAAUUAUCACCUCUAUAUAUUUUGAAUCAUACUCUAGGAAAUGUUAGAAUAAAAGAUGAAAAUUG
Molecule: long non-coding RNA, 1891 nt
Filed under: Equus caballus (horse)
Lineage: Eukaryota; Metazoa; Chordata; Mammalia; Perissodactyla; Equidae
Description: lncRNA (ENSECAG00000037486.3)
Source: RNAcentral